AGAGUUUGAUCCUGGCUCAGAUUGAACGCUGGCGGCAGGCCUAACACAUGCAAGUCGAACGGUAACAGGAAGAAGCUUGCUUCUUUGCUGACGAGUGGCGGACGGGUGAGUAAUGUCUGGGAAACUGCCUGAUGGAGGGGGAUAACUACUGGAAACGGUAGCUAAUACCGCAUAACGUCGCAAGACCAAAGAGGGGGACCUUCGGGCCUCUUGCCAUCGGAUGUGCCCAGAUGGGAUUAGCUUGUUGGUGGGGUAACGGCUCACCAAGGCGACGAUCCCUAGCUGGUCUGAGAGGAUGACCAGCCACACUGGAACUGAGACACGGUCCAGACUCCUACGGGAGGCAGCAGUGGGGAAUAUUGCACAAUGGGCGCAAGCCUGAUGCAGCCAUGCCGCGUGUAUGAAGAAGGCCUUCGGGUUGUAAAGUACUUUCAGCGGGGAGGAAGGGAGUAAAGUUAAUACCUUUGCUCAUUGACGUUACCCGCAGAAGAAGCACCGGCUAACUCCGUGCCAGCAGCCGCGGUAAUACGGAGGGUGCAAGCGUUAAUCGGAAUUACUGGGCGUAAAGCGCACGCAGGCGGUUUGUUAAGUCAGAUGUGAAAUCCCCGGGCUCAACCUGGGAACUGCAUCUGAUACUGGCAAGCUUGAGUCUCGUAGAGGGGGGUAGAAUUCCAGGUGUAACGGUGAAAUGCGUAGAGAUCUGGAGGAAUACCGGUGGCGAAAGCGGCCCCCUGGACGAAGACUAACGCUCAGGUGCGAAAGCGUGGGAGCAAACAGGAUUAGAUACCCUGGUAGUCCACGCCGUAAACGAUGUCGACUUGGAGGUUGUGCCCUUGAGGCGUGGCUUCCGGAGCUAACGCGUUAAGUCGACCGCCUGGGGAGUACGGCCGCAAGGUUAAAACUCAAAUGAAUUGGCGGGGGCCCGCACAAGCGGUGGAGCAUGUGGUUUAAUUCGAUGCAACGCGAAGAACCUUACCUGGUCUUGACAUCCACAGAACUUUCCAGAGAUGGAUUGGUGCCUUCGGGAACUGUGAGACAGGUGCUGCAUGGCUGUCGUCAGCUCGUGUUGUGAAAUGUUGGGUUAAGUCCCGCAACGAGCGCAACCCUUAUCCUUUGUUGCCAGCGGUCCGGCCGGGAACUCAAAGGAGACUGCCAGUGAUAAACUGGAGGAAGGUGGGGAUGACGUCAAGUCAUCAUGGCCCUUACGACCAGGGCUACACACGUGCUACAAUGGCGCAUACAAAGAGAAGCGACCUCGCGAGAGCAAGCGGACCUCAUAAAGUGCGUCGUAGUCCGGAUUGGAGUCUGCAACUCGACUCCAUGAAGUCGGAAUCGCUAGUAAUCGUGGAUCAGAAUGCCACGGUGAAUACGUUCCCGGGCCUUGCACACACGGCCCGUCA
Molecule: ribosomal RNA, 1400 nt
Filed under: uncultured bacterium
Lineage: Bacteria
Description: bacterial SSU rRNA
Rfam family: Bacterial small subunit ribosomal RNA
Source: RNAcentral